AGAUGCGAUCAUACCAGCACUAAAGCACCGGAUCCCAUCAGAACUCCGAAGUUAAGCUUGCUUGGGCGAGAGAAGUACUAGGAUGGGUGACCUCCUGGGAAGUCCUCGUGUUGCAUUCC
Molecule: ribosomal RNA, 119 nt
Filed under: Triticum aestivum (bread wheat)
Lineage: Eukaryota; Viridiplantae; Streptophyta; Magnoliopsida; Poales; Poaceae
Source: RNAcentral